GGGCGCUUAGCUCAGCGGUAGAGCGCCUCGUUUACACCGAGGAUGCCGGCGGUUCGAAUCCGUCAGCGCCCA
RNAcentral lists this transfer RNA (72 nucleotides) under Teichococcus deserti. RNAcentral's name for it is "Roseomonas deserti tRNA". It matches the Rfam family "tRNA". From Rfam's summary of the family: Transfer RNA (tRNA) molecules are approximately 80 nucleotides in length. RNAcentral also lists the same sequence under 1 other name. Lineage: Bacteria; Pseudomonadati; Pseudomonadota; Alphaproteobacteria; Acetobacterales; Roseomonadaceae. The record is from Rfam by way of RNAcentral.